GGAGAAGUACCGAAGUGGUCACAACGGGGCCGACUCGAAAUCGGCUGAGAGCCUUUAAAGUUCUCCGUGGGUUCGAAUCCCACCUUCUCCG
Molecule: transfer RNA, 91 nt
Filed under: Coxiellaceae bacterium
Lineage: Bacteria; Pseudomonadati; Pseudomonadota; Gammaproteobacteria; Legionellales; Coxiellaceae
Description: tRNA-Ser
Rfam family: tRNA
About the family: Transfer RNA (tRNA) molecules are approximately 80 nucleotides in length.
Source: RNAcentral